Sphaeramia orbicularis (orbiculate cardinalfish) is the source of this 222-nucleotide long non-coding RNA. RefSeq lists it as uncharacterized. The record is from RefSeq and is a predicted model, not a curated record. Lineage: Eukaryota; Metazoa; Chordata; Actinopteri; Kurtiformes; Apogonidae. The transcript has 3 exons.
AUGGGGUGUUUUGAAAAUCAUGACCUUGAGUUUAACCUUUCAAGUUCAUUGAAAGUCAACAAAAUGGGUACCAAAUGAAAGACCAUAUCUGACUUCCUAUAAGUCAAUAAUACAAAGUUAGUUGAUAUCCAUCUUAGUUUUCAAGAUAGAAGCCAUUUUGUGAACAUGCAAAUUGGGUGCUUGAGCCCUGGUCACUUUAGAUGCCAAAUAAAAUAUAUACAU